This 23-nucleotide microRNA is filed under the name Drosophila melanogaster (fruit fly). Its description in RNAcentral is "dme-miR-6-2-5p". Its record names the gene dme-miR-6-2-5p. Lineage: Eukaryota; Metazoa; Arthropoda; Insecta; Diptera; Drosophilidae. RNAcentral also lists the same sequence under 1 other name. The record is from miRBase by way of RNAcentral.
AGGGAACUUCUGCUGCUGAUAUA